ACAGGUGGGGGGCCACACAGAAGGGGGUCGCGGGACGCCAGUUGGACAGCACUGUUCUAGAUGGUUAGCAGGAGUGGUUGUCUCUAGAAUAUCCUAUGUGUUUCUAAGAAAUGUAAAGUUGUUUGCAAGUGUUUAUUUUCCUUCUCAUGCCAAAAUGAUCAAUUUCAGAACAUAAACAUGUGCACUCAAUCCUCCAAGUCCUGCAUAUGUACAGCAAUACUUUGAUUCCCUUCAGUGUGUAGCAACAUGUGACAGAAGGUGCAUGCGCAUUAUGCUGGAGCAACGGGGAAGUUACGUUAUGAAAAUGACGGGACAAACUUCAGUAUACUGAAAAAGUUCUACGCGUUAGCGCCAGAGAUAGAUAAUUAAUAUAUAUUUUUUUUUUAGUUCAGCGUUUCAGGAGAGGGGCAUGAGAUAAGCAUUUUCACUCAUUUUUGUUUAGAUAGGUUCCUUUCUCCCUUAAGGCCUCUUGUUAAGCUACCUGAGGCUAAUCAGGCCCAGCUUGUAAGACUGUAGCACUUACGCUGCUACACAUGCAUUAAUUACAUUCCUCAUCUCUAGUACUACUGUCAAGAAUAAGAUUUACAAAAUCACAGAACAAAGCAUCUCACUGUCAUAAAGACAAAGACUGCAAACAUAAAACUUAAAUGAAGGCCAUGUUUCUUGUGACAUAGGCUAUGGUGCAUGACAUCGUCAUUUGAUUUAACACAGUCCAUUAGCAUAUAUUGAGACAGCAGCUGACCUGCAUAGAAAUCUAUUUUUCAAAAGAGCAAACAGAUUUUUAUGUUAAAAUUUGAAAUAGUCACUCUUUACUGAUGUCACUUGAGUGAUGUCUUCCUCCUUAACAGGCUACCAGCAGAACAAUGUGUAGUUAACAAGAUAACAGCUCCCUGAUACCUGCAUUGCUUACAAAAAGGGGAACAAAGUCUGGCCAUGACACCUCUAAUUAAAUUAAUUUGAAUUGUGAAUUGCUUGCUCUUUCUGAAAACACAGAAUCAAGCUAAAUAACCUGAGAUGGAUGCAUGCACACCAAUAUUAUGACAAAAAAAAUAUACUUAUUGGUUCAAGAAUAGUAUUUUAAAGCUUACAUUUUUAAGGUACACCAUAAAAAUCAUGCUAAAGAACAUGUUCCCAAGUCUCAAAGUGUCCCCUAGAGCACAGAUGAAACUAUGGAAAAUGCAUCCAAUUUGGUUAUCUAACCCAACAGUUCAAACAGAGACCUAGCACUCCAUCCAGCAGUACUGGGAACAAAAUGCCUUUGAUUCCAUAGAAUCUCUUAAAGCAAGUGUUUCAGUCUAUGGGGGUCAAAACAAGAUUCUUAGGAUGAGUAUGCUUACUGUAUAGUGACCCUUAAGCAUGAGUUCAGAUAAAUGGUCACAUAUCCACACCCUUUAAAUAAGCUACGGGUACCAGGCAGAGGUGCACUCUGUCCUCACUGCUGUUUGUCCUAGCCAUUAAGCCCUUGGCCAUUUAAAUAAGAAACCUGAAUCACAUCCAAAGCCUUUAAUUCCAGGGAGUAGAGCAGAAAAUAUCACUGUAUUAUUAUACUUGGCAGACCCAGGAACCUCCUUGUAAGAAGCACCAAAAUUUGGCAAAUUCUCUGGGCUACAUAUUAAUUGGGACAAAUAAUCCAUGUUCCCACUGGACGAAAUUGCCCCUGAGCAGGUAUAUCCAGACCUUCUUCUCCCCUUUGUCAACACAUUUAAAUACCUUUGCAUAAUAAUUCACAAAGACCCACCAAAAUUCACAGACCUUAAUAUCCUUCCACUUGUUGCGAUCCCUGGAGAUUUGGGCCAACCUUCCAUUUACCUUAAUUGGCAGGAUCAACAUUCUUUAAAUAGUAUACUUACCAAAGCUAUUAUACAUAUUCCGCAAUGCGUCUGCCUACCCAAAGCCAUACUGAAAAGAAUCAACAGAAUAACUACUACCUUUAUCUGGGCAAACAAAAUGUAAUAAUUAGCUAGAUUGAUUCUUAUCACAAACGUUAAACACUGGGCACAUUGGAAAAUUAGGAACAGUCAAGAUUUACUUCAUGGAAGUCAUUUUAAAACCAAAACCUAAAUCAGACUACUGCCCACUCUAUACUAGAAAAUCAUCUUUACCACCCCAGUGCCAGGAAGGUAGUAUCCAGCACUUACAAACUUUAGCUAAAUAAAUUUGUGGAUCCACUCCCCAGAGUCAAAUUGAAAAAGGAAAGUCUCAAUCCACCACUAGAUGAAACAGAAAAGGAAGAGAUACAAGAUAACAUGCAACAACCCCUCAUCAGCACGAAAGACCAUUUGAUUCAUUUCGAAAUAGUAUACCAGGUACCUCACCCCUCAAAUGUUAUUUUUUUGGUGGUGAUGCCCUUCAGAGCUUUGGAAAUUAUCUUGUGUAUUCCGGACUGCAUAUUUGUUGUAGGUGUAGCUGUACUUUGUAUCCUUUAUCUAUUUCGCUGCUAUUUUUGCUGCUUGAAGCAUAAAUGGUAGCAGUUGGCUUUUGAGUGUGGUUGAGGUUUGUGUAUCAUAAUGCAAUAUGAGUUUGGGUAAGAAGUCGUCAGCUAGAUAUUCUUGGGUGACCUUUUCGGUUAUUGUGAUUACUUCCUUCCAGUACUUUUUUAAUGCAUCGCAAUGGUACCAUAUAUGACUAAAAGUGCCUUGAUAGUUGAGACAUCUCCAGCAGCGGUCGUGAGCUGAGGGGAACAUUUGUUUCAGUCUGGUUGAGGUGUAGUACCACUGUGUUAUUUAUUUAUAUGUGAAUUUUUGUGUUUUAGACGCCGUGAAUGAUUUAUGGAUUGAACUGCAGAUGUUUUUCCAUUGCUCUGCUGGUAUUUGUAUGUUUAAUUCUUUCUCCCAGCUGGGUUGAUGCAGUUUUUUUUUGUCACAUGGGUGCUAAGAAGUUGUUUGUAAAUUUCUGACAGUGGUCUCUUGAGUUUGAUUUGGGCAGAGAUUACGUUUUCCCAUAACAAAAGCCCAGGCCCAGACAGAUAUGGAGCAUGCUUUAAUAUGACUUUAGAAAAGUCUAAUAUGACUAUUAGAAUACCUCAACUCAAUAGGGCAAAAUACCACACCAGGCUCAAGAUGCCCAUAUACUGUAACCAUCAUCCCUAAACCUAACAAAGAUCCACAACAAUGCAACAGUUACAGGCCUAUUUCACUGAUAAAUGUAGAUCUCAAGAUACAGUAUAUGCCAAACUAAUAGUCAACAGAAUGAUACCCAAACUAAUACACCCAGAACAAUGCGGUUUCGUACCCAAUAGAGAAGGAAAAGUUAACACAACAAAAGUAAUAGCCCUAAUACACCAUGCUAAAUCAAGAGCAAUACCAUUGCUUAUCUUAACCACUGACGCAGAAAAAGCUUUUGACCGGGUCUCAUGGGACUUCUUAAAAUCGGCCUUAAGAGGAUUCAGAUUCCAAGAGACAUUCAUCGCAAAAAUAAACCUGUUAAUUACUAUCUGUGGUACAGUAUAGUGCAAAGAAUAAUACUCUCCCUGAUCUUGCAGAUUCAGUCAUUUGUUAUUGGCUCCUCUUGUUCUCUGAUCCAUUGUCCCCUGUUUCUAGGGGUGCGUGGUGUGUGGUCUCAAGGUUGUGGUUGCUUGGAACUUCCCAUCCCGGUAGCGGGAUUUUUUCCAGUUGUAGGUUGUGGAGGAAGGAUUCUGUUUCGCAGGGUGACCACAGUAUAUGUUGUAUUCCGUCUUUCCUAGCGAUGAGGCUGAACGGGUACCCCCAUUUGUAUUGAAUUCCUUUUUCCCUUAAGGUCUGUCAGGGUUUUAAGUUGUUUUCUCUGGAUUAAGGUUAUCCUGGAUAUAUCUUGGAACAGUGAUAUCCUACAGUCUUCAUAAGUUAGACUGUUUGCUUCUCUUGCUUUAUGUAAUAUGUCUUCUUUUUCUUUAAAAUAGUGCAGGCAGCAUAGUAUGUCCCCAGAUGCAUUCAGUGGAGCACCUUUGGGUUUUGGGACCCUGUGGGCCCUAUCAAUGGAGAUUUCAGUUGUUUGGUAUCUGUUGAGAACGUUAUUGAAUAUUUGUAGUAACAGUGUGUAUCUCAGCUGACUUUAUUACUGGGACUCUCUGACUCUUAUAUUAUUUCUCCUCCCUGUUUUCCAGAUCAUCUAUGUGUCUCUUGAGAUCUUCUAUAUCAUCAUAUCAAAUCAUGAGGAAUUUGAAGUGGAACCAGUUGUGGACUUGUUGCUGCAGAAAAAGGAUUAUCCAAGGGUUUUGGUCUAGAGGAUCUCUCUUCUGAACAUCAAUGUCCAAGCUCCAAGACUGUUAAGAAGUAUUUAUCUUCAGCAUACAGACAAGAAAAUCCACAUCUGUGUCCAGAAGCCAUGCUUGGAGGGUGGGGGCACUUCAGGUCUCCUCUGUCUCUCAGAAGGGGACCAAGGAGGUGUGCAGCUGUGUGGUGUGAUGCAAGGGUGAUAUUUAAGCCAGUUCUACCUUGGGAUUUGUGCUCAGAUACUGUUUUUCCGGUAUUAAAUCUAUGCAUUCUUUGA
Xenopus tropicalis (tropical clawed frog) is the source of this 4467-nucleotide long non-coding RNA. RefSeq lists it as uncharacterized. Lineage: Eukaryota; Metazoa; Chordata; Amphibia; Anura; Pipidae. The transcript is spliced from 2 exons. The record is from RefSeq and is a predicted model, not a curated record.